Long non-coding RNA from Pyrus x bretschneideri (Chinese white pear), 2266 nucleotides. RefSeq lists it as uncharacterized. The transcript has 8 exons. The record is from RefSeq and is a predicted model, not a curated record. Lineage: Eukaryota; Viridiplantae; Streptophyta; Magnoliopsida; Rosales; Rosaceae.
CUAUAAUAUGUAUAAUAUCUGUUAUUGAUUGUUUUUCCUUCUUGGUUAAUUGAAUAAAAUUGUUUUUUAUGAUAUUCAAUCAAUGGAAAAUGUGACUUUCACAAGCUCCAAGCCUUUCUCAAUUAUAGAGAUCUCAACUUGUAUCUAAAAUUUGCUUAAGACACUGGUGGAAAAAUGUAUUUAACGUUUUACGUUCAUAUGCAUAGGCUCGACUUCUAAAAAUGUAUCCUGCAAAGCUAUGCUUCACAAGUUUACAAUGCCUGUCAAGUGCAGCACAUACAUUUGUGUUCCAUAAUUGUAUUCGAUAAGGAUAAUACUAUCACUGCACCUUAUUCCUUGACUCUUUGGGCCUUUUUGAGUCUUCGUUGGAGCAGUGCAAAUCAGUUUUCCGACUCAAUAUCCUGGUGUUCAGUAACUCGGCUGGGCAUUAUGAGUAUGAUCAUGAUGCAUGAAAAGCUAGGGAGCUUGACGUGCCAAUUAGAAUUAAAAUGCUAAUACAUAAAAAUUUUAGGGCAUUGUGCACAGGUAAUUGGAGCUACUGCAAUAAUUGGAGCUACUGCAACAUUUUAUCACUGACAUGGUUGGAAUGUGUAGAAAUUUAACGGAGAGGGAGUAAAUUGGCUAAUUAAAAUAGUUUGAGUGACAGUGAUCAUAAAGUUCAGUGGCAAAUUGAUAAAGUAGUCUUGAGCUAAAUUAACCAUCUACUUAGAGAUACAUUAACAAACAUCUGCGUGCACAUUUAUUCCUAAUAUUGUGGACACUAUGUAAUGAUUGCCUACGAUAUUAUUGUUUACAAACUUGCAUUCCAAAUUUGAAAGAUCAUCUAUUACCAUAUGGUGCACUUCUACUGAGAAUGUAACGUUUAUUGUGAUUAAUUGUUUAGUUUACAUGUUUUUGUGGUGCACAUAUGGUGAUGCAGAAGCUUGAGAGGUCCUCUGGAUUUUGGUAGUUGCAAAUUUGCAAUGAUCAAGAAACAUGGGACAUGAUACUAGAAAAUGUGUUUGUAGAUUCAAAAGUUAACUGUUGUUAAUGUUAUUAUAGUAGAAUUUCAUUUCAUUUUGAUGUUGGGAUACGAUGAAUCAUGAUCGGGUUAUGAUUAAUGCUAAUUAAUGAUAUGAAUCAAAUGCUUGCAAUGUGUAAUUAUGAUUGGAUUAAAGGAGUUUGAGUUUUUUCUCUAAUGAAAGUUAUAAAACAAAUUGUACUUUUAGGUACUUCACAAGUCAGAGGCCAAGUCUUAAAAUAUCUUUUGUAAUGUUUUCAGAAAAACAUUUUCAAUUUUUGCAGUGGGAUACUGAGAUUUGAACCAGUCCAGGGUAAAAAAAGUUUGAUAACAUUGCACAAGAUUGGAACUUGCAUAGUAGUUUUAUAUUCAGUUUGUGGAGCGAGUAAUUUGUUAUCGGUACAAUUGGUUUCUCUUUACAUGCCUAUACUCGCAGGAGAUAAAUUCAGAACCAACCUUCUCCAACUCUCUAGCAGUAGAACCACAUCUACCACCAGGCACCUCAUGCGUGUCAAAAGCAGGCCCUUUGAGCUUCAGUCCGGGGGUAAGCUUCUCUCUUUUGAUUGGAUUCAAGCUCAAGUCCUCAGGUGAGAAAAACAGAGAGCCAGCAAAGCUUUGUAGAGAGGAGGCAUGAGUUUCCUGUGAUGUUGAAUUAUCUACAGAAAAGUUCUCUAAAGAUGGUUACAGUGGAGACCAAUAUUCAGAACACAGUGGACAAGUCUUUACGAGCUAAUCCUACUGGGUCAUGCCGUUUUUACCCCUUCUUUGUUUCUGCGGUCACUGUUUAUUCUACAGUGUGAUUCCAUUUUUAACCCUGUUUUAGUGAGGUGAUGGUGGACGUGAGUUGCUGAUGGUGGACGCGUGUUCUCUCUCAGAUUUCUCGACCUCGCUCUCUUGAAGAUUCCGGUGAACCUUUCCGUUUCUUUCCUGUGCAGACUUCUCGAGUUCUCUCUCUAAAAUUUCAUCUCUCUUCUCCUUUAAACCACUUUCUCUCUCUAGAACUCCCUGGCCGCUGCCUUUUCUCUAAUGGUUGAAUAUGGGCCUGCAUAAACCCUAUGACGAAUGAUUUCCUUGGCACAAGAACAUGAACGAAGCCCAGACAUCCUCAAAACUGCAGGCAAGAAUGUGUUUUUGACUCUCUUUUAUGUGUUUUUGACUAUUAGUUAAUUUAGUUUAUCCCAGGUAUCUUUUUCCCUCUGUUUUAUGUGUUUUUGACUAUUAGUUUAUUUCCUCCGGCUUCAAUGAAAGGAUGCGAAAUUUACACUG